Molecule: ribosomal RNA, 1492 nt
Filed under: Klebsiella sp. ok1_1_9_S32
Lineage: Bacteria; Pseudomonadati; Pseudomonadota; Gammaproteobacteria; Enterobacterales; Enterobacteriaceae
Description: bacterial SSU rRNA
Rfam family: Bacterial small subunit ribosomal RNA
Source: RNAcentral
UGAACGCUGGCGGCAGGCCUAACACAUGCAAGUCGAGCGGUAGCACAGAGAGCUUGCUCUCGGGUGACGAGCGGCGGACGGGUGAGUAAUGUCUGGGAAACUGCCUGAUGGAGGGGGAUAACUACUGGAAACGGUAGCUAAUACCGCAUAAUGUCGCAAGACCAAAGUGGGGGACCUUCGGGCCUCAUGCCAUCAGAUGUGCCCAGAUGGGAUUAGCUAGUAGGUGGGGUAACGGCUCACCUAGGCGACGAUCCCUAGCUGGUCUGAGAGGAUGACCAGCCACACUGGAACUGAGACACGGUCCAGACUCCUACGGGAGGCAGCAGUGGGGAAUAUUGCACAAUGGGCGCAAGCCUGAUGCAGCCAUGCCGCGUGUGUGAAGAAGGCCUUCGGGUUGUAAAGCACUUUCAGCGGGGAGGAAGGCGGUAAGGUUAAUAACCUCAUCGAUUGACGUUACCCGCAGAAGAAGCACCGGCUAACUCCGUGCCAGCAGCCGCGGUAAUACGGAGGGUGCAAGCGUUAAUCGGAAUUACUGGGCGUAAAGCGCACGCAGGCGGUCUGUCAAGUCGGAUGUGAAAUCCCCGGGCUCAACCUGGGAACUGCAUUCGAAACUGGCAGGCUAGAGUCUUGUAGAGGGGGGUAGAAUUCCAGGUGUAGCGGUGAAAUGCGUAGAGAUCUGGAGGAAUACCGGUGGCGAAGGCGGCCCCCUGGACAAAGACUGACGCUCAGGUGCGAAAGCGUGGGGAGCAAACAGGAUUAGAUACCCUGGUAGUCCACGCCGUAAACGAUGUCGAUUUGGAGGUUGUGCCCUUGAGGCGUGGCUUCCGGAGCUAACGCGUUAAAUCGACCGCCUGGGGAGUACGGCCGCAAGGUUAAAACUCAAAUGAAUUGACGGGGGCCCGCACAAGCGGUGGAGCAUGUGGUUUAAUUCGAUGCAACGCGAAGAACCUUACCUGGUCUUGACAUCCACAGAACUUUCCAGAGAUGGAUUGGUGCCUUCGGGAACUGUGAGACAGGUGCUGCAUGGCUGUCGUCAGCUCGUGUUGUGAAAUGUUGGGUUAAGUCCCGCAACGAGCGCAACCCUUAUCCUUUGUUGCCAGCGGUCCGGCCGGGAACUCAAAGGAGACUGCCAGUGAUAAACUGGAGGAAGGUGGGGAUGACGUCAAGUCAUCAUGGCCCUUACGACCAGGGCUACACACGUGCUACAAUGGCAUAUACAAAGAGAAGCGACCUCGCGAGAGCAAGCGGACCUCAUAAAGUAUGUCGUAGUCCGGAUUGGAGUCUGCAACUCGACUCCAUGAAGUCGGAAUCGCUAGUAAUCGUAGAUCAGAAUGCUACGGUGAAUACGUUCCCGGGCCUUGUACACACCGCCCGUCACACCAUGGGAGUGGGUUGCAAAAGAAGUAGGUAGCUUAACCUUCGGGAGGGCGCUUACCACUUUGUGAUUCAUGACUGGGGUGAAGUCGUAACAAGGUAACCGUAGGGGAACCUG